UGGGGAAUAUUGCACAAUGGGCGCAAGCCUGAUGCAGCCAUGCCGCGCGUAUGAAGAAGGCCUUCGGGUUGUAAAGUACUUUCAGCGAGGAGGAAGGCGUUGUGGUUAAUAACCGCAGCGAUUGACGUUACUCGCAGAAGAAGCACCGGCCAACUCCGUGCCAGCAGCCGCGGUAAUACGGAGGGUGCAAGCGUUAAUCGGAAUUACUGGGCGUAAAGCGCACGCAGGCGGUCUGUCAAGUCGGAUGUGAAAUCCCCGGGCUCAACCUGGGAACUGCAUCCGAAACUGGCAGGCUAGAGUCUUGUAGAGGGGGGUAGAAUUCCAGGUGUAGCGGUGAAAUGCGUAGAGAUCUGGAGGAAUACCGGUGGCGAAGGCGGCCCCCUGGACAAAGACUGACGCUCAGGUGCGAAAGCGUGGGGAGCAAACA
RNAcentral lists this ribosomal RNA (427 nucleotides) under uncultured bacterium. Its description in RNAcentral is "partial 16S ribosomal RNA". It matches the Rfam family "Bacterial small subunit ribosomal RNA", at positions 355 to 774 of the family's 1533-position model. The record is from RNAcentral.